CGGCAGAGAGGCAGAGCGAUGGACCCAAGAGCCUGUGGUUCCUUUAGUGCCAGAGCUCGAGUUAGGACCCCAGCCUCCUAACUCCCAGUCCAGGGAUCUUCCUGCCACAGAAUUAUCAUUAUUGUUACUCAACUGUUGAACAUAGCUGGAACCCCUCCCUCUCUGCCCGUCUUCCAGGCCAGUCCUCACAUGCCCUUGGCUUCUGUUGAUUAGCUCCUGACACAAAGGCUUGCUUUUCCCGGUGGCUUGAUCUGCUUUUGGUUUGGCAAAGCCUCUUGUUUUCAUGCAACUGGAAAAAAGAAGAAUCCAGCAUCUCCAGCAUCUCGCCUGUCAAGAAUUCAGAUAGUGCUUCCGUGGUAGAAUGAGAAAGGUGGAGAAGAGGGAUUUCAGUUCCCUGGGGCGCUGUGUCUGUUAGCUGCCGGUAAAUACCUCUGAGAGACUCUGUUUCCAGCUAAAGGAGACCACCUGUCCUACAACUCUCAGGAUCAGGCACAGGAACUGUCUGGGUGGACCCUCUGGCAAAAUGAAUUGGACCAACUCUAAGUUCCAGAACUCCAGAGCCAGUAGCAAUGCUUUCCUGGAUGACCCCACACCACUGCCCUGCUCUGAGAAUUUCACUACCCUGAAGCCAGAGACUAAACCUGAUGAACUCAGCAGCUUAGGCACAGCAGCUACAGCCAUUUCUGGCUCUGUUGGUGUUGUGGCUCUCAUCUUGCUCCUGGUGGGUCUCUUGUCCAUGACCCUGAAGAAAUGGAGACAUGAGAGACUAUUUAAGAAACAAUUGAGGCACCAGACCAACUUUCUCCAUAGAACUUCGGAGCUUUCCUGCCAUGCUGAUGCCAUAUAUUCGAAUGUGAUCAACCUGGCUUCCUGGAAAGAGGAUGACUUCGCUGUCUAUGCCAACGUGCCCCCUUUCAAUCGCCCUAGGAAGACAUCACCAGACCAAGUGGAAUAUGCCUCCAUUGUAUUCCACUGAUGGGAAGCCAAUGAGAUGCUUCAGAUGGAAAGUCAGACCUAUGCCCCAGCUGGAUCCUGAGCUGGCUUGUGCUUUAGAUGGGUGGUGUGGGUGUGUGGGUGUGUCUAUUUAGAAAAAUGCAUAAAACAUAUCCUAAUGGUGGUAAAUGGCUGGGUAUUUCUUCUGAUUUAUUGGAAACAAAGUACAGUUCUAAUGGAAAGGAGUGGCAUAGGAGAGACAAGGACACGCUGAUCCAAGCCAUCCCAGCCCCAGAAGCAGGUUCCUGAGACAGACUGGCCAAC
RNAcentral lists this long non-coding RNA (1257 nucleotides) under Vulpes vulpes (red fox). RNAcentral describes it as "lncRNA (ENSVVUG00000013574.1)". The record is from RNAcentral. Lineage: Eukaryota; Metazoa; Chordata; Mammalia; Carnivora; Canidae.